Molecule: ribosomal RNA, 429 nt
Filed under: Chloroflexota bacterium
Lineage: Bacteria; Bacillati; Chloroflexota
Description: Chloroflexi bacterium partial 16S ribosomal RNA
Rfam family: Bacterial small subunit ribosomal RNA
Source: RNAcentral
UGGGGAAUAUUGCACAAUGGGCGCAAGCCUGAUGCAGCCAUGCCGCGUGUGUGAAGAAGGCCUUCGGGUUGUAAAGCACUUUCAGCGGGGAGGAAGGCGUUAAGGUUAAUAACCUUGGCGAUUGACGUUACCCGCAGAAGAAGCACCGGCUAACUCCGUGCCAGCAGCCGCGGUAAUACGGAGGGUGCAAGCGUUAAUCGGAAUUACUGGGCGUAAAGCGCACGCAGGCGGUCUGUCAAGUCGGAUGUGAAAUCCCCGGGCUCAACCUGGGAACUGCAUUCGAAACUGGCAGGCUAGAGUCUUGUAGAGGGGGGUAGAAUUCCAGGUGUAGCGGUGAAAUGCGUAGAGAUCCGGAGGAAUACCGGUGGCGAAGGCGGCCCCCUGGACAAAGACUGACGCUCAGGUGCGAAAGCGUGGGGAGCAAACAGG